Molecule: long non-coding RNA, 856 nt
Filed under: Manihot esculenta (cassava)
Lineage: Eukaryota; Viridiplantae; Streptophyta; Magnoliopsida; Malpighiales; Euphorbiaceae
Description: long non-coding RNA (MESC_LNC001818)
Source: RNAcentral
UGUUAUGUGAAUGGGGAAAACAGAGCAAACUAGAACAGAGAGCACAGAGUAAUCUGAAUGGGGAGGAUAAAAUUCUGAUGGUACACUUCAUCUGUGACAAACUCUUGAUCUAAACAUAACCAUCAUAAGAAAUUAUGAAAUUCUGUCUAAACCGGAUUACCGGUCCGACCCAAAUGAAAAUGGAAAAUUUUACACUAUGGAAAAUGAGAUCCAUUUUUCCUUUUGGAUGGUUGGAUGGAGUGAGGGAAGUAAGGUUGGAUGCAGUGAGGGAAGGAAGGGGAAGGGUAACCAAUUAUAGUGCAACGAUUUAAUAUAUGGAAAUUUGAGAAAAUUAUUUUACUUUUAUUUUUUUCACUUUAGUUUAAAUUAGAAAAAUAUAUAUUGUAAAUAGGUAAAAUAGGGAUGGUAUUCAAAUGAAUUCUAUUAAGAUAAAAUAUGGAUAAAUUCGAGUUUAAAAUCGGGUUUAUGUAUUGGGUUGUCCAGAAUUGGUUUAUACAAAUAAAUAAUUAUUUACAUUUUAUAUAAUAUUAUAUAUUAUAUGUCAUAUAUUAUAUAUGAUAAUAUGAGAUCAAGAAAAUCUAUUAUCAAGAAAAUAGGGUUUACUGUAAGCUUAGUCUGAGAGGAUGUUUUUCCCUUUUAUUUUUUUUCUAAGCUUAGUAUGAGAGGAAAAUGCAACUCCCUUUUAUUCUUUUCCUUUGUUUGUUAGUGACGUAUAAUGGUCUCACUGCUAGGUGUCUCACUGCUAGGUCACCUGUCUCUACUAUACGAAUACGGACGUACGAAUAUAUUAGAUCUCUACUUUAUGCGUAACGACUAUUUAAUUUUUCUCUGGCACGCAUGUUGGGGGACCCACCAG